GGCAGCAGGGGCGUCCGCCGGCGGCUCUGACACCCCGGGAGGGGGCGGUGAGCUGGCCGCUCCGGGGACAAGGAGGGAGCAGAGUCGGGCUGCAAGCAGAGAUGGGGUCCCUCUGAUCCUCCCGCCCGGGCCGCGGCCCUUACCUGGAGCUCCGUGAGCAGAAUCUCCCCCCGUUCGGGAUUGGACGCCAUUGCGCUCCGCUGUGGACUCCGCACCUGGACGCGGCCGCCACUGGCGAAGGGAGAAGGCGGGACGGGACCCGGGGAGGCGGGUGUGGAGCCGGGAAAGAAAGACAAAAACUAGGGAUUCAUGGAGGCGCAGCCCCUGCUGGAGGCGCGGCUUAUUUCGCCCAGUUCAUGAAGAGCUGCGGGGAGCUAGGGCACUCGUAGCGGGCUCCCCCUCGCCGCCCGGCCGCCGCAGCCGCCGCCUCCCGCCCGCCCGCGCGGGACUCUGUUCGCUCAAUCGCUCCCUCUGGGCGACGCCAGGAGCCGCCUCAAGCCUUUCGAAAUUUUCAGGAUAACUGUCAGCGAGGGACUCCCUGUCCCUUGGAAAAUUAGAUUAACAAGCAAAAAUCCUGGUCCUUUCCUGGGCUAUUACAGUUUGACUGUACUCAACUUCUUCUGAUUCUCAACCCUUCUUCCAAAGAAGAUUGUUUGGAAAUUUCUCCCCAAAACACAUGCUCUCCUGAAAGGGAUGCCAAAAACCACCAUUUUUCAA
Long non-coding RNA from Rhinolophus ferrumequinum (greater horseshoe bat), 717 nucleotides. RefSeq lists it as uncharacterized. Lineage: Eukaryota; Metazoa; Chordata; Mammalia; Chiroptera; Rhinolophidae. The transcript has 4 exons. The record is from RefSeq and is a predicted model, not a curated record.